GACCAUUCCUCACAGUCCUGUCAGUGAAGAUAGGAAAAGAAUGUAAAGGCUGUUGAACAUGAAGUCUUGCCACCAUGUGACCACAGGCGGUGGGUGAAAUGAGUCCCCAUGCAGGUUUUGUCUUCUGGAUGAUUGCCGGGACUCUGCAGGGUCAGCCGAGAUCCUUCCUCCAUACUCUCAUCUGGGCUCUCCGCCGUCAACCCUGAC
Long non-coding RNA from Epinephelus fuscoguttatus (brown-marbled grouper), 207 nucleotides. RefSeq lists it as uncharacterized. The transcript has 3 exons. Lineage: Eukaryota; Metazoa; Chordata; Actinopteri; Perciformes; Serranidae. The record is from RefSeq and is a predicted model, not a curated record.